CCUACGGGAGGCAGCAGUGGGGAAUUUUGGACAAUGGGCGCAAGCCUGAUCCAGCAAUGCCGCGUGAGUGAAGAAGGCCUUCGGGUUGUAAAGCUCUUUUGUCAGGGAAGAAACGGUGGAGGUUAAUACCUUCUGCUAAUGACGGUACCUGAAGAAUAAGCACCGGCUAACUACGUGCCAGCAGCCGCGGUAAUACGUAGGGUGCAAGCGUUAAUCGGAAUUACUGGGCGUAAAGCGUGCGCAGGCGGUUGUGCAAGACAGAUGUGAAAUCCCCGGGCUCAACCUGGGAAUUGCAUUUGUGACUGUACGGCUAGAGUGUGUCAGAGGGGGGUAGAAUUCCACGUGUAGCAGUGAAAUGCGUAGAGAUGUGGAGGAAUACCGAUGGCGAAGGCAGCCCCCUGGGAUAACACUGACGCUCAUGCACGAAAGCGUGGGGAGCAAACAGGAUUAGAUACCCUGGUAGUCCACGCCCUAAACGAUGUCUACUAGUUGUCGGGUCUUUAAUUGNUGUACGCNGCUACGCGNGAGUAGACGCCGUCGGGUAGGUACGGUCGCGAGAGUAAACGUAACAAGUAGUAAGUUAGUACGGCGUGAGACGUAGACCGACGGACGACGACGAGGGGAGGUUAGGG
RNAcentral lists this ribosomal RNA (632 nucleotides) under uncultured bacterium. Its description in RNAcentral is "bacterial SSU rRNA". The stretch from base 1 to 536 matches the Rfam family "Bacterial small subunit ribosomal RNA", at positions 338 to 873 of the family's 1533-position model. The record is from RNAcentral.